Vespa crabro (European hornet) is the source of this 607-nucleotide long non-coding RNA. RefSeq lists it as uncharacterized. The transcript has 2 exons. The record is from RefSeq and is a predicted model, not a curated record. NCBI's taxonomy places the organism in Eukaryota, Metazoa, Arthropoda, Insecta, Hymenoptera, Vespidae.
AUUAUUAUUAUUAUUAUUAUUAUUACUAUUAUUAUUAUUAUUAUUAUUAGUAUUACUAUCGUUAAUCAUAAAAAGCUCCUCUUUUUUUUUAUUUCCUAUAAAUGUCAAGAUUAAUUGUUAUAUGCAUAAGUGUAUACAUACGCACUUGUUAGAGAGAGAGAGAGAGAGAGAGAGAGUGAGAGAGAGAGAGGGAGGGAAAGAGAAAGAAAGACAGAGGUGAAAAAUGAAAAAGAAGAAAAUGAAAAAAAAGAAAAAAAAAAGAAAAAAAAGUACAGAUUCUUAAACUCUAUUUAACAUCUUAUUGUGAUGUGACACUAAAUAAAUAAAAAAUAAAAAAUAAUUGUAUCGUGUGUGUGAGAGAAUCGACGCGAAGAAUUUUUCAACUACAUAUCAGUGUCGCGAGUGAUUGAAAAAUAUCGAUUCAAGUAUUAUUACCAUCCACUAUAAACGUUAUGAACGUUAUAUAAAUUACCAUUGACAGUGGAUCUUAUUGCCUUUUAAUUUUGUUGAACUUGAGAACACGGAUCAGCUUUGUAUAAUAAGAAUACUAUCAACGUGAUGUCAUGAUAAUAUUUCUAUCACAAAUACAUACCAUAUUAAUCACAUA